CCAUUGAACAUGUCAACUUAGACCUUAGGCCCCGUUUGGUUCGGGGGAUAAGUGGGGAUAACGAAAGUUAUCCCCGCUAUUCCGCCAAACGAAAUUAUUUUUUACCGGGAUAUUUUAUUCCGGUCAAAGCUUGCUAUUCCCGGUUAUCCCGGAAUAGCAAGCUUUUUACUAUUCCACUAUUUUGGUGGAAUAGUGCUAUUCUCAUGCUUAAUUUCAAACUUAAUUAAAAUUAUAAAAUAAAUUAAAACUAAAUUAUAUAAAUAUAAUAUAUUAUAUAUUAUAAUACAUUAUUUUAUUAUAAAAUUAUUAAUUGUGCUAUACUAAUACAUAUUAUUUAUAUUUAAAUAUUAUAAUAAAUUUUAUAAUAAAUUAUUUUUAAAUAUUAUAAUAAAUUAUAUUUAAAUAUUAAAAUAAAUUAAAAUUUAAAAAUUAAUUUUAUUUAAAACUUAAAAUAUUAUAAUAAAUUAUAUUUAAAAUUUAAAAUUUAAAUAAAUUUAAAAUUUAAAAUUUAAAUUUUAAAAUUUAAAUUUUAAAUUUUACAUUUUUAAAUUUUAAAUUUUAAAUUUUAAUUUCAAAUUUUGAAAUUUAAAAGUUAAAAUUUUAAAAUUUAAAAUAUAAAUAUAAAAUAUAAAAAUUUAAAUUCUAAUAUAAAUAAAAAAGUGAUAAUAUUAUUAAUUUUUAUUUAUAACUACCCACUUUAAAUCUUAUUUCAUCUUACCUAACCAAAUGUUAUUUUUCUUAUUCCCAGAAAUAACCCAAUUUUUAUCCAAACGCAAAAUUGAUCUAAUCCCCGCUUAUACCUCAAUUUAUACCUAUCCCUGGAAUGUCCACUUUUUGCUUAUCCCCGAACCAAACGAUACCUAAUUCGUCUAAUUCCCGAAGGUUUUUUUUAUACAUUGUCAUAUUAAUUU
RNAcentral lists this long non-coding RNA (911 nucleotides) under Ananas comosus (pineapple). RNAcentral's name for it is "long non-coding RNA (ACOM_LNC002696)". The record is from RNAcentral. Lineage: Eukaryota; Viridiplantae; Streptophyta; Magnoliopsida; Poales; Bromeliaceae.